Molecule: ribosomal RNA, 253 nt
Filed under: uncultured bacterium
Lineage: Bacteria
Description: partial 16S ribosomal RNA
Rfam family: Bacterial small subunit ribosomal RNA
Source: RNAcentral
UACGUAGGGUGCGAGCGUUGUCCGGAAUUACUGGGCGUAAAGAGCUCGUAGGUGGUUUGUCGCGUCGUUCGUGAAAACUCACAGCUUAACUGUGGGCGUGCGGGCGAUACGGGCAGACUGGAGUACUGCAGGGGAGACUGGAAUUCCUGGUGUAGCGGUGGAAUGCGCAGAUAUCAGGAGGAACACCGAUGGCGAAGGCAGGUCUCUGGGCAUUAACUGACGCUGAGGAGCGAAAGCAUGGGGAGCGAACAGG